UGCACAUAUUGAGAAUAAUUUCAUGCUACAAUCUUUUUUUGCCAGUCUGACCUGUCCAGAGGCUUUUUUCAGCUGAAGCCAACAUUUUCUCCCUCCAGCCUCAUCACCUGCUCAUACACCUGACUGGUCAUCCCCAUUCUGCUGCAACAAGAACAGACAGCCCAACCCCUGAGCCAGAUGCACUGGCUGUGCAGAGUAACAGUGACACGCACAGAGCUCCCAGGUCUGAGCCUCAGAAGCCCUUGAAGCUGGAGACAGAAAGCCCCCAUACACCAAGACAAAACCAAAAGUAGCAAAACAUGGUGAGGUGGGACCAUUCCAUUCAAACAGGUGGUCCAACCCAUCAGCCCCAUGUCCCAAUCUCUCGCUGGCAGCAGAAGAGCAGAAGUUUAGAUUCAAGAAAAAUUUAACAAGCAGGACCACACACAGCUACAGGCACAGCAGGAAUGGAGAAGACAGCUAAGGUUUUCCUUUCACAACUGUUCUUUCUAAUUGCUUUUGAAUUAAAAGUCAGUUUCACUCUUACGAACUUAGAAAAUAUACAUUUAGUCCUUUAUGAGAAGAGGGUUCCAUAUACUUCCAUUUGAUUUAUUAAAUCCUUCAUAUUCCAUGCC
This is a long non-coding RNA of Haemorhous mexicanus (house finch), 614 nucleotides long. RefSeq lists it as uncharacterized. Lineage: Eukaryota; Metazoa; Chordata; Aves; Passeriformes; Fringillidae. The transcript is spliced from 3 exons. The record is from RefSeq and is a predicted model, not a curated record.